ACUAUAUUACGGUAUGUUUUCCCUGCAAAAUAUUUUGGAGGUGGUCAUUGAACACAAGUAUAUAUGGUUACAUUACAUAAAUAAUAAACUUAAAGAGAGUUUAAGAGAAGUAGCAUCUACACAACUUCAAUUAUUUGUGCAAAAACAAUUCACCACAUUUCUCUAAAUCCAUCUAUCCUGCUCUACUUCUAUAGGUGAAAUUCCCCCUAGUUUUCCCUUUUAUAUAUAUGUAUAUAUACGUAUGAUUGAUCCAAGGAACAGAAAAAAGAUAAAUACAAAUUUCUCAAACAAAGCUCAUAGUAACCUUAUUCUUAUUUCCUAGCUUACCUGAUCUUGAUACCAAAUACCACCUUCAAAGCACUUUACAAUGUGAAAAUACAUAUAUGGAUAUUUUCGUAAUAUCACAAAAGCAUAGAGCUAACACUCUUCCCUGCUAAUGAUAUUACCUGGUUUGACUUACCCAUAUACUUGUCUACAAUACUGUAUUUGUCUAGCAUAAGACUGUGGACUAAUAUCACAUAAAAGAAUUGUUGCUGUUUCACUAAGACUCCCAUUGUCUAAAAGUUCUUAGAAUAUGAAGUCCUGGCACAAAAGUGAAAUGCAACAAAUGCAAAACCAAUCACUAAGAUAAUAAUUCUGCAGAUCUCAGCUUGCCACACAUCUCUGAAUUAAAAUUCUCUGAGAAUUGAGAAAAGAAGCAUGCCUGUCCAAAGGGAUUAUGAAAGACCAUUUCCAGUAACUAGCCCCACAAGAAUGAGUCACGUCAUUAAUUACACUCAAGCCAAUUGUGUGCGAAGUAGAAUGACUUCAUAAUUAUAACAAACAGAACAAGGGUCUACAAUUUAUGAAUUAUGUACUUUAUUUCUCUUGCUGAUUUAAAUUCUUGAAUUGUAGACCC
Molecule: unclassified non-coding RNA, 898 nt
Filed under: Hevea brasiliensis (rubber tree)
Lineage: Eukaryota; Viridiplantae; Streptophyta; Magnoliopsida; Malpighiales; Euphorbiaceae
Source: RNAcentral